CGCGCAUCGAAUCAAGGGAAGCGUGCCGGUGCAGGCAAGAGACCACCGUAAGCGUCGUUGCAACCAAAUAAGCGCCGAUUCACAUCAGCGCGACUACGCUCUCGCUGCCUAAGCGACGGCUAGUCUGUCAGACCGGGACCGCCCUCGACCCGGACCCUGGCAUCAGCUAGAGGGAUCAACCGAGGAGUUCGGUCGCGGGGCUCAUCGGGACACCAACAGCGACUGGGAUCGUCAUCCUGGCUAGUUCGCGUGACCAGGAGAUCCGAGCAGA
RNAcentral lists this unclassified non-coding RNA (271 nucleotides) under Mycobacterium kansasii. RNAcentral's name for it is "partial tmRNA". The record is from RNAcentral. Lineage: Bacteria; Bacillati; Actinomycetota; Actinomycetes; Mycobacteriales; Mycobacteriaceae.